Molecule: ribosomal RNA, 224 nt
Filed under: uncultured bacterium
Lineage: Bacteria
Description: partial 16S ribosomal RNA
Rfam family: Bacterial small subunit ribosomal RNA
Source: RNAcentral
GAUCCUGGCUCAGGAUGAACGCUAGCUACAGGCUUAACACAUGCAAGUCGAGGGGCAGCAUGGUCUUAGCUUGCUAAGGCUGAUGGCGACCGGCGCACGGGUGAGUAACACGUAUCCAACCUGCCGUCUACUCUUGGCCAGCCUUCUGAAAGGAAGAUUAAUCCAAGAUGGCAUCAUGAGUCCGCAUGUUCACAUGAUUAAAGGUAUUCCGGUAGACGAUGGGG